UAGCAUUAUUUUGCUAGCACCUUAGAUUUUUGACUGAAAAAUACCAAACGGAUUUUCUGUAGUAUGAAAUCCAAUCCAUACAAUUUCCAUUUGCUUUUAAGUUUUAACACAAAUAAAACAUUUUUACUGCAUUAGGCGCGCUUGGGUGCAUAAUUUGAACUUCUGUUUUAAAACGUAAUAUUACUAUUUUGGUUUUAAUAACUAAAUUAAAUGAUUUUCAUUACCUGUUUAUUACAUGCUUCUAUUUAUGUUUCGUUGCAUUUUUAUGCAUUUUGUUGAUCUAUAUAUACUUAUUGUAUUCGAGUACACCGCUAUACUUUAGGUAGUUAAGUGUAAAUACUGUACAGAACUCGGUCGUUUUUAACACGACGGUAGGUUACGUUAGACGAAUUCAAACUAUCGAAUAAAUAUCUUGAUGUUUA
Molecule: long non-coding RNA, 422 nt
Organism: Aricia agestis (brown argus)
Lineage: Eukaryota; Metazoa; Arthropoda; Insecta; Lepidoptera; Lycaenidae
Exons: 3
Source: RefSeq, a predicted model, not a curated record